This 614-nucleotide long non-coding RNA is filed under the name Nicotiana benthamiana. RNAcentral's name for it is "long non-coding RNA (NBEN_LNC026022)". The record is from RNAcentral. Lineage: Eukaryota; Viridiplantae; Streptophyta; Magnoliopsida; Solanales; Solanaceae.
CUGUAUGUAUCUUGUUAAACAUAAGCGCGGAAAAAUAACAUAGAUAUUUGCUUGUUAUUGAAUGAAUUGUUAAACCUUGAUAGCGGAUAGCCAACCCAUUACUUUGUCCUGGAAAAGGAUAUUAGAGAUUUCCGCUUAAUACAAAUGCUAUGACUUAUGCAUACUAUGAAUUUUUCACAGAUUGGCUAGAGAAAUCAGAGAAAUGGAUCUUUUGAGAUUUUUAAUGUUGACUGCAAAGGAUUAUUAAGACAAGAGGGGUUGCUCUGAUGGUAAGCAACCCCCACUUCCAACCGAGGGGUUGUGAGUUCCAGUCUCCCCAUGACUGCAAAGGAUUAAGUUAUGUGAAGGCUCAGUUAUGACUUCUUUUAGAAAUACAGGAUUCAAGCAUGAUUCAAGUAUGCAUUGUUUGGACACUAUGGGGGUAGAGAAACUUUAUGUGUUCUGAAGGAAAGUUUAACCCAAUAGACUGAAGAGUUUUUUUUUUAAUGAUGAACAUGGUUUUUUGGAUUUUAGGUGCCCUCUAGAAGUACGGCUAACCCCUGAAAAUAUCUUAAUUCCUGGGAUCAGUACUGUUCUGUCUAUAUACAAAACAGACUGAUUUUAUCCACAAAAAA